Molecule: long non-coding RNA, 1072 nt
Organism: Nicotiana tabacum (common tobacco)
Lineage: Eukaryota; Viridiplantae; Streptophyta; Magnoliopsida; Solanales; Solanaceae
Source: RefSeq, a predicted model, not a curated record
AUUUUUCCCUAUUUUCUUUUCUUCUUCCUCUCUCCUCAAUCUCUCAUCACUCUCUCGUCUCUCUAUCUCGCCGGCCGGAAAUCGUCACCACCGGCGGAUGUCGUCCAAAGACCAUAAAAUUUACACCAUUCUUCUCCCCUCACUCUCCUCUUUUUGAUUCCAAACCUCAAAACUUUCAACCCCCCCCCCCCCAAAUCCGUAGAUCUAAUUGGCCGAAACCUUAGCCGCCGACGGACCACUUUCAAUCCACCCCAAAUUCACACCAUGACCUCCCCUCACUUCCCCAUUUCCAAAUCCAUGAACCAAAUCCCUUGAAUCCCUCCCAAACUCCACGAAUAAACCAAAAUCCGAAACCCUAGCCCACUUUAUUUUGUAAAUUCGUCGAGUUUUAGACCUCUCAUUCAUAAAAUACUUGCAUAGGCAUGUAGAGCUCCACAUGAUCUAUCAUCCUAUGUUGGUUUCACCCAAAAACUCCGACAGAAGUUCGGCCGGAUUCUGGCAACCACCGCCACUGCUGGCAACCACCACACCCCAAUGCCCCUAUUGUUUUAGCCUAUUCCGACCCAAAUACGUUCGCUUCUCUCUAGCACGAUGUUGGAACUCAUUGGAUUCAAAGUGUGGUAGAAAGAAACGCUCGUUUCAAGGUCGAUUUCCUCGUGUGGUAAUUCUCUUAAAAUGAUACUGCAAUUUUGAGUCAGGACUGAAUGGAGACGAAGCAAUUUGAAGUUUUCUUGUUUUCAGUUUAUUCUAAGCUUUAAAAGAAUUUUGUUCUCUUGUAAGGUUUUGUGUGUGAGUACAUAUGAUAAAUUUUGGAUUUCUCUGAAUAUUCCAGCUGACAACAUGCUUUAAACCUCUUUAGUUCAUAGUUGCUUUGUUAUUAUGACUCAUUGUCACCUUGGUUUCAUGAGAAAUUGCUAGUAAAGAUAGAAAUGUUAGUGAUACAUGUUCAGGUGCUUAAGUUGGUAGUUUUGAACUUUUUUUUGAGAUAAAGUCCUCAGAUACUCUGUCUUGACAAAUGCAUGACAAUACGGCUUUAUGAUCGUAUUUUGCUAAGUAUGAUUAGUUGUGGGAA